GUUACAUGAGCUUGCAAGAUGAAGGCGAGAUGGGGAGUCCCAACAGAUUCCUGUUAAAAUGUGCAUGCCAAAAUUUCAUUUUUAACAACUGCUACCCCAGGUAUUCAUUAGUGUCUUUUCCACUGCCUCCAAAAUCACGUACAGUGAUCUGAGUCGCUGGGGAAUGGCAGGAGGCCAAAGACUUUGGAAGAACUCGUCUCUGUGGCGAUGUGCGGGGAGGGUCCCAGAGGACAGCACCUGGCAUCAGCCCAUCCGUAGAGAGGGCAGAACAAAGGUGGCUCACGGCACCAUCAGCACACUGGCUUGGGAUAGCAGUCGCUGGCAAAGCUGAGCGAGAGCCGCCCGCGUUGGAAGCCGCCCCAGAAUACGAGCGUUCCUCCACUCCCGCUCCAGCACUGCCCCUUGAGGAACCUGCUGCCUUGGGACUCUCCGUGUGACCCGUUUUUCUCCCUAGAACU
Microcebus murinus (gray mouse lemur) is the source of this 458-nucleotide non-coding RNA. The record is from RefSeq and is a predicted model, not a curated record. NCBI's taxonomy places the organism in Eukaryota, Metazoa, Chordata, Mammalia, Primates, Cheirogaleidae.